GAUCUGAUUGGCUGCUGCAGGUUGUGUGGUGAUCCAGAGGCGAGCAGAGGGAAACAGGUUCCUCCUUAUGAGGUUUGUAAGCAGAACAUCCACUGAGCUUGACUCUGUGACAUCAGUCAGGAUGUCACUGCUGUGGAAGUCCAGAGGGAGGCGACACUCAUCCAGACCGUCCAAGAUGAUCAAGACCUGGAAGUGCUGGAAGCUGCAGAUUCCUGCUUCUUUGGUUUCAGGAAAGAAGUGAUGAACAAGUUCCACCAAGCUGAACUUCUUCUCUUUCAGGACAUUCAGCUCUCUGAAAGUGAAGAGAAAUAUGAAGUGGAAGUCCUGGUUGGUUCGUCCUUCAGCCCAGUCCAGAGUCCACUUCUGUGUUAAGACUGUUUUCCCGAUGCCGGCCACGCCCUUUGUCAGCACUGUUCUGAUUGGUGGCUGAGUGUCAGCUGAGACUUUAAAGAUGUCUUCACAUGUGAUGGUUCUUUCAGGUUUGUCUCUUCUCCUG
Long non-coding RNA from Thalassophryne amazonica, 496 nucleotides. RefSeq lists it as uncharacterized. The record is from RefSeq and is a predicted model, not a curated record. NCBI's taxonomy places the organism in Eukaryota, Metazoa, Chordata, Actinopteri, Batrachoidiformes, Batrachoididae. The transcript has 4 exons.